GAUGAACGCUAGCGGCAUGCCUAACACAUGCAAGUCGAGGGGUAGAAGGAGCUUGCUCCUUUGAGACCGGCGCACGGGUGCGUAACGCGUAUGCAAUCUACCUUGUACAGGGGAAUAGCCCAGAGAAAUUUGGAUUAAUGCCCCAUAGUAUAUAACCUUCGCAUGUUGGUUAUAUUAAAGUUCCAACGGUACAAGAUGAGCAUGCGUCCCAUUAGUUAGUUGGUAAGGUAACGGCUUACCAAGACGAUGAUGGGUAGGGGUCCUGAGAGGGAGAUCCCCCACACUGGUACUGAGACACGGACCAGACUCCUACGGGAGGCAGCAGUGAGGAAUAUUGGUCAAUGGUCGCAAGACUGAACCAGCCAUGCCGCGUGCAGGAAGACGGUCCUAUGGAUUGUAAACUGCUUUUAUACAGGAAGAAACCCUCCAACGUGUGGGAGCUUGACGGUACUGUAGGAAUAAGGAUCGGCUAACUCCGUG
Molecule: ribosomal RNA, 480 nt
Filed under: uncultured bacterium
Lineage: Bacteria
Description: partial 16S ribosomal RNA
Rfam family: Bacterial small subunit ribosomal RNA
Source: RNAcentral